This 826-nucleotide ribosomal RNA is filed under the name uncultured bacterium. Its description in RNAcentral is "bacterial SSU rRNA". It matches the Rfam family "Bacterial small subunit ribosomal RNA", at positions 54 to 893 of the family's 1533-position model. The record is from RNAcentral.
CAUGCAAGUCGAACGGAGCUUAGAGAGCUUGCUUUUUAAGCUUAGUGGCGAACGGGUGAGUAACGCGUGAGUAACCUGCCCUAGAGUGGGGGACAACAGUUGGAAACGACUGCUAAUACCGCAUAAGCCCACGGUACCGCAUGGUACUGAGGGAAAAGGAUUUAUUCGCUUUAGGAUGGACUCGCGUCCAAUUAGCUAGUUGGUGAGGUAACGGCCCACCAAGGCGACGAUUGGUAGCCGGACUGAGAGGUUGAACGGCCACAUUGGGACUGAGACACGGCCCAGACUCCUACGGGAGGCAGCAGUGGGGGAUAUUGCACAAUGGGGGAAACCCUGAUGCAGCGACGCCGCGUGGAGGAAGAAGGUUUUCGGAUUGUAAACUCCUGUCGUUAGGGACGAUAAUGACGGUACCUAACAAGAAAGCACCGGCUAACUACGUGCCAGCAGCCGCGGUAAAACGUAGGGUGCAAGCGUUGUCCGGAAUUACUGGGUGUAAAGGGAGCGCAGGCGGGAAGACAAGUUGGAAGUGAAAACCAUGGGCUCAACCCAUGAAUUGCUUUCAAAACUGUUUUUCUUGAGUAGUGCAGAGGUAGAUGGAAUUCCCGGUGUAGCGGUGGAAUGCGUAGAUAUCGGGAGGAACACCAGUGGCGAAGGCGGUCUACUGGGCACCAACUGACGCUGAGGCUCGAAAGCAUGGGUAGCAAACAGGAUUAGAUACCCUGGUAGUCCAUGCCGUAAACGAUGAUUACUAGGUGUUGGGGGAUUGACCCCCUCAGUGCCGCAGUUAACACAAUAAGUAAUCCACCUGGGGAGUACGACCGCAAGG